This 72-nucleotide transfer RNA is filed under the name Ovis aries (sheep). It matches the Rfam family "tRNA". Rfam says of the family: Transfer RNA (tRNA) molecules are approximately 80 nucleotides in length. The record is from Rfam by way of RNAcentral. Lineage: Eukaryota; Metazoa; Chordata; Mammalia; Artiodactyla; Bovidae.
UUCCUAUUAGCUUAGAUGGCAAAGAAUCUGCCUGCAAUGUAGGAGACCCAGGUUUGAUCCCUGGGUUGGGAA